GCCAACACCCACAUGUCCAGACUGAGAAAGGUCCAACAUGAGAUGGAGGAAGCUCAGGAACGUGCUGACAUUGCUGAAUCUCAGGUCAACAAACUGAGAGCCAAGAGCCGUGAUGCUGGAAAGGGUGAAAGUGCUGAAUAAGACACAUUCUUUUGGAACUUUUUGGCAGUGUUCAUAAAAUAUGAACUAACUGUUAAAUUGUCUGCUUAUGAUGUAUUAAUUCAAUAAACACUUUCAUUAUGAUUUCAUGAAA
Long non-coding RNA from Pundamilia nyererei, 253 nucleotides. RefSeq lists it as uncharacterized. The transcript is spliced from 2 exons. Lineage: Eukaryota; Metazoa; Chordata; Actinopteri; Cichliformes; Cichlidae. The record is from RefSeq and is a predicted model, not a curated record.